AUUGAACGCUGGCGGCAGGCCUAACACAUGCAAGUCGAACGAGUGGCGGACGGGGGAGUAAUGUCUGGGAAACUUCCUUGUGGGAGGGGGUAAACAAUGGAAACCGUAGCUAAUACCGCAUAGCCACGGAUUGGCCCCGAUGGGAUUAGCUAGUAGGUGGGGUAAAGGCUCACCUAGGCGACGAUCCCUAGCUGGUCUGAGAGGAUGACCAGCCACACUGGAACUGAGACACGGUCCAGACUCCUACGGGAGGCAGCAGUGGGGAAUAUUGCACAAUGGGCGCAAGCCUGAUGCAGCCAUGCCGCGUGUAUGAAGAAGGCCUUCGGGUUGUAAAGUACUUUCAGCGGGGAGGCGUUACCCGCAGAAGAAGCACCGGCUAACUCCGUGCCAGCAGCCGCGGUAAUUC
RNAcentral lists this ribosomal RNA (406 nucleotides) under uncultured bacterium. Its description in RNAcentral is "partial 16S ribosomal RNA". It matches the Rfam family "Bacterial small subunit ribosomal RNA", at positions 30 to 526 of the family's 1533-position model. The record is from RNAcentral.